GGCGGCGAGUGGCGAACGGGUGAGUAAUACAUCGGAACGUGCCCUGUGAUGGGGGAUAACUACGCGAAAGCGUAGCUAAUACCGCAUACGACCUAAGGGUGAAAGUGGGGGAUCGAAAGACCUCACGUCAUAGGAGCGGCCGAUGGCGGAUUAGCUAGUUGGUGAGGUAAAGGCUUACCAAGGCGACGAUCCGUAGCUGGUCUGAGAGGACGACCAGCCACACUGGGACUGAGACACGGCCCAAACUCCUACGGGAGGCAGCAGUGGGGAAUCUUGGACAACUGGGGGCAACCCUGAUCCAGCAAUGCCGCGUGUGGGAUGAAGGCCUUCGGGUUGUAAACCACUUUUGGCGGGGGCGAAAUAUCGAGUGAUAAUACCAUUCGGUGAUGACGGUACCCGCAGAAUAAGCACCGGGUUAAAUACGUGCCAGCAGCCGCGGUAAUACGUAGGGUGCAAGCGUUAAUCGGAAUUACUGGGCGUAAAGCGUGCGCAGGCGGUUAAGUAAGACAGAUGUGAAAUUCCCGGGCUCAACCUGGGAACUGCAUUUGUGACUGCUUGACUAGAGUGCGGCAGAGGGGAGUGGAAUUCCGCGUGUAGCAGUGAAAUGCGUAGAUAUGCGGAGGAACACCGAUGGCGAAGGCAACUCCCUGGGCCUGCACUGACGCUCAUGCACGAAAGCGUGGGGAGCAAACAGGAUUAGAUACCCUGGUAGUCCACGCCCUAAACGAUGUCGACUAGUUGUUGGACGGGUUACUGUUCAGUAACGUAGCUAAC
RNAcentral lists this ribosomal RNA (774 nucleotides) under uncultured Thiomonas sp. Its description in RNAcentral is "bacterial SSU rRNA". It matches the Rfam family "Bacterial small subunit ribosomal RNA", at positions 87 to 856 of the family's 1533-position model. RNAcentral also lists the same sequence under 1 other name. The record is from RNAcentral. Lineage: Bacteria; Pseudomonadati; Pseudomonadota; Betaproteobacteria; Burkholderiales.